This 968-nucleotide long non-coding RNA is filed under the name Gallus gallus (chicken). RNAcentral describes it as "lncRNA (ENSGALG00010000424.1)". Lineage: Eukaryota; Metazoa; Chordata; Aves; Galliformes; Phasianidae. The record is from RNAcentral.
CAGUCAAUGGGGUCAGUGGGUUUUAUGGGGUCAGUCAAUGGGGUCAGUGGGGCGUAUGGGGUCGAUCAAUGGGGUCAGUGGGAUCUGUGGGGUCAGUGGGGCAAUCAGUGGGGUCAGUGGGAUCUAUGGGGUCAGUGGGGUCUAUGGGGUCAGUCAAUGGGGUCAGUGGGGUGUACGGGGUCAAUCAAUGGGGUCAGUGGGAUCUGUGGGGUCAGUGGGGCGUAUGGGGUCAGUCAAUGGGGUCAGUGGGGUGUAUGGGGUCAGUCAUGGGGUCAGUGGGGUGUAUGGGGUCAGUCAAUGGGGUCAGUGGGGUGUAUGGGGUCGAUCAGUGGGGUCAGUGGGGCGCAUGGGGUCGAUCAAUGGGGUCAGUGGGAUCUAUGGGGUCAGUGGGGUGUAUGGGGUCAGUGGGGUCGAUGGGGUCAGUCAAUGGGGUCAGUGGGGUGUAUGGGGUCAGUCAGUGGGGUCAGUGGGAUCUAUGGGGUCAGUGGGUUUUAUGGGGUCAAUCAGUGGGGUCAGUGGGGUGUACGGGGUCAAUCAAUGGGGUCAGUCAGUGCGGUCAGUGUGAUCUAUGGGGUCAGUGGGGUGUAUGGGGUCAAUCAAUGGGGUCAGUCAGUGGGGUCAGUGGGAUCUAUGGGGUCAGUGGGAUCUAUGGGGUCAGUCAAUGGGGUCAGUGGGGUGUAUGGGGUCAAUCAGUGGGGUCAGUGGGAUCUAUGGGGUCAGUGGGGCAAUCAGUGGGGUCAGUGGGGUGUAUGGGGUCAGUCAGUGGGGUCAGUGGGGCAAUCAGUGGGGUGUAUGGGGUCAGUGGGGUCUAUGGGGCCAAUCAAUGGGGUCAGUGGGUUUUAUGGGGUCAAUCAGUGGGGUCAGUGGGAUCUAUGGGGUCAGUCAGUGGGGUCAUGGGGGCGUAUGGGGUCAGUCAAUGGGGUCAGUGGGGUGUAUGGGGUCAGUCAGUGGGGUCAGUGGGGUGUAUG